UCCGGUUUGUCACCGGCAGUCCCAUUAGAGUGCCCAACUGAAUGUAGCAACUAAUGGCAAGGGUUGCGCUCGUUGCGGGACUUAACCCAACAUCUCACGACACGAGCUGGCGACAGCCAUGCAGCACCUGUCACCGGUCCAGCCGAACUGAAGGGAUCGAUCUCUCGUUCCCGCGACCGGGAUGUCAAGGGCUGGUAAGGUUCUUCGCGUUGCUUCGAAUUGAACCACAUGCUCCACCGCUUGUGCGGGCCCCCGUCAAUUCCUUUGAGUUUCAGCCUUGCGGCCGUACUCCCCAGGCGGACGACUUCACGCGUUAGCUGCGUUACUAAGGGAUUUAACUCCCCCAACAACUAGUCGUCAUCGUUUAGGGCGUGGACUA
RNAcentral lists this unclassified non-coding RNA (379 nucleotides) under uncultured Pseudomonadota bacterium. RNAcentral's name for it is "uncultured proteobacterium contains 16S-23S intergenic spacer region". Lineage: Bacteria; Pseudomonadati; Pseudomonadota. The record is from RNAcentral.